This is a non-coding RNA of Cajanus cajan (pigeon pea), 2546 nucleotides long. The record is from RefSeq and is a predicted model, not a curated record. Lineage: Eukaryota; Viridiplantae; Streptophyta; Magnoliopsida; Fabales; Fabaceae.
AGAUGCCACAAUAAGAAUGGAAUUUCCGGAAACAAAUACAGUGCAUUGUGAAGACUUGCCCAAUCUAAGGAGUUUUUCCUCAGGAGACAUUGUUGAAUGGCCAUACUUGGAGAAUCUUAUUCUGAACCACUGCCCUAACUUAAAGAAGUUUGGAUUCGGAAAGAUAAAAGAGUCACGAUUAAAAUCAUUCAUCAUGGAAAAUCAAGUGCAACAUAAUAUUGAUACACAAGUUACCAAUUUUUUUGAAUCAUGGGAUGAUGAAUUAUCAACAAUUACUAAGUAUGAAAUUGGUGACAAUGAGGAAUUAGGCAAGAUAUUGGACAAUCUUCGUCCAUCGCAUUUCACCAACUUGUUACAAUUCCAGGCAAAAAAUGUUGGCGAAAAGGUGAAUAGAUUUCUUGAUGUUUUGAGGAUGAGGUCAAAUAAACUUGAAGUUAUCAACAUUCAACAAUGCAAUACAAUACAAUAUUUGUUUGAUGCUUCUUUUGCUCUUAACCCUGAUGAAGAUGGACAUGGUAUAUAUUUCAGACAGAUGAGGGAAUUAAAAUUAAUAGAACUAUAUAAUCUAAAAACUGUAUGGUAUGGGAAUCCAGCAAGAUAUUAUGGCCUCGAAAAUCUCCAAUUGAUACACAUCAAAAGUUGCCCCUCUCUAAUACGUCUAUUCUAUUAUGGUGCAACAUGGAAGCUCCACCAACUAAAUGAAUUAAAGUUAGAGGCAUGUGAGCAGAUAACCGGUUUAGUUUUUUCUCGUUAUGAUGAGAUACUACCAGCAAAGUUCCCAUCACUAACCAAGGUAGAGUUUAAGUCUCUCUCAAGAUUGAAAUGGUUCUACAGUUGUGGAGUAGAAUUGCCAAGUCUAAAAUCCUUGACAAUAGAAAAAUGUCCUCAAUUGACUUCAUUCACAAAUGGGUUUGCAAUCGCAAAUGCAUCACCCACAAUUAUUGAUGGGAAGUCUUUCUUUGAGCUAAAUGAACUCACAUUACGUAGUUGUGACAAGUUGGUUGUUGUUGUGUCAUCUAAGACUUUACAAGAGUUAGGAAAAUUGAAGAAACUCAUUGUGAGUGAUUGUAUGGAAUUGAAAAUGUUAUUCAACAUUGAUGGAACAAUAUCUCAUUCAACUGAGCUCCUAAAACAGUUAGAUGAAUUGAUCUUGAAUGAUCUACCUAAUUUAACUCAAAUCAUCAACGAAGAAAUUGUCGAGCUCUAUCAAAACUUGAAAAUCCUACAAGUGAAGAAUUGUGAGUCUCUUGAAUGGUUGCCCAUAUCUCAAGUGUUAAAAAAUAUGGAAAUUAUCGAUUGCACAGCCUUGCAUAAAAUUAUGAUCAUCCAUGAAGAAGAAGGAAAGAGAGUUGUCAUUGGACAAAUUGAAGGUACUUUAUGUAAUGAAUCAACCGGUUGAGGAGCUUUGGCACUACAAUUAUCCUUCUGAAUCAUUUUGUGAGUUGGAAUAUCUUACUUUGAGAAACAACAAAAAGUUAUUGAGUGUCUUCCCCCCCGCCAUGAUAGUAAGAUUCAACAAGCUAAAAAAAUUGACUUUAGAAAAAUGUGAAUUAUUGGCCGAGGUAUUUAUCCUUGAAGGUGACAAACCAAAUCAUGAUAACCAAGAAAUGCUUCCUCAACUAAGGGUGUUAGCAAUGAGUAACCUAAGUAAUUUGACAUGUUUCUGGAACAAGGAACCUCAAGUUCCAUUUUUCCUUAAUUUGGUUUCACUUUUCAUUAUUCAUUGCCAUUGCCUCAAAAGCUUAUUCUCACUUUCUCAGGCCCAAAAUCUUAAAAAACUCAAAAUACUCAGAUUGUGUAAUUGUGAGAAAGUAGAAGAGGUAAUAUCUAGUGAUAAAGGUGAAAAGGUGGCUACCAUUUUCCCUAAAAUGAAAUGUCUUGUGCUCAAGGAUCUUCCAAAGCUUGUCAACUUUUGUCAGGAAGGAGGAUGUUUUAAUUGGCCUAACUUACAAACAGUGAGGGUGAACAAUAUUCCAAGUAUGAAAACAUUUUUGAGAGAUGAUCUUAAUACACCAUUGUUGAAAUCAGUGUAUAUAACAUUUGCUAAGAAACUUUGGCUUGGAAAUUUGAACAAGACCAUAUCAUAUAUGCACAACAAUCCAGGGAUGACAUUACAAGGAAGAAUAUGAAGAUUACAUAUUAAAUAGAAGAGAUCUGAGGAAAGGCUUCAAAGUCACAUUAAUCAAGUAUAAAUAUAUACAUUGCAUUAGCCUUUUAGAUGUAAUAUUAUUCGUACUUUGUGUAUAAAAAAUUAUAAUUCAUACUUGUCUUUAAAAACAUUGUAAUUCAUACAUACAUAAAUAUUUUUAGGAUAAAAUAAGCUUUUACAUGUAUAAAUACAUACAUAAUUGAUUUUUGGUUUAAAGGUGAACGAUCAUAAAAGUCAAUUGGUAGGGGUGAAUGUUGUUAAUGAAUGGUUAAUGGAUGCGACGGUUAUUUUGAAUUGUAAGGUUGGAUUCCUACCUUUCGAAUAAUUGGGGUUACCGAUUGGGGCAAAUCCAAGAAAGAAAGGAGUGGAAAUCUAUAGUGGAAUUGGUGGGAAAUAG